Molecule: ribosomal RNA, 240 nt
Filed under: uncultured bacterium
Lineage: Bacteria
Description: partial 16S ribosomal RNA
Rfam family: Bacterial small subunit ribosomal RNA (bases 1-209)
Source: RNAcentral
ACGCUCGACACCUACGAGGCAGCAGUAGGGAAUCUUCCACAAUGGACGCAAGUCUGAUGGAGCAACGCCGCGUGAGUGAAGAAGGUCUUCGGAUCGUAAAACUCUGUUGUUAGAGAAGAACACGAGUGAGAGUAACUGUUCAUUCGAUGACGGUAUCUAACCAGCAAGUCACGGCUAACUACGUGCCAGCACGCCGUACGGUACGUUACUGAGGGCCGGGUCGGUCGACGGAACGGACGC